Molecule: RNA transcript, 3103 nt
Organism: Oncorhynchus gorbuscha (pink salmon)
Lineage: Eukaryota; Metazoa; Chordata; Actinopteri; Salmoniformes; Salmonidae
Gene name: WW domain-containing adapter protein with coiled-coil-like
Exons: 11
Source: RefSeq, a predicted model, not a curated record
CACGAUAAAAUGCGAGAUGGGUUGUCAGAUCCUACACCACCCUACAAAAAUGCUCCGACACUCUGAUGAAAGUCCAGUCAAUAAGCACAGUGACGGACACAGCAAAACAAAAAAACAUUUCACACACUCCGAGGCCAAGAUGGUGGGACCAGCUGCUCUCCGCAAGAGAAUUCUCACAACCACAGCUCCAACUCGCACUCAAAUCAAAGCAAGGCAUCAGACACCCCUCACGAGCCUGCAGACUACUGGUCGGAGCACAUCAGCUCCUCGGGCAAGAAGUACUACUACAACUGCAGGACUGAGGUCUCUCAGUGGGAGAAGCCCAAAGACUGGCUGAGAGAGCAAAGGCAAAAAGACCCGUCUAAGAGAGAGUCCAACACAUUCCCUAAAGACCGGGACUACAGACGAGAGUCUGUGGACACAGCCACCACAAAGAGUACUUCAGGGGACAAGUCGUCCUCCAACACUGCUCCUUCCCAGUCAUCUUCCUCCACCAAUCCGGGCCUGAACCAAGCCUCUGGCUCUAACCCCACCCCCUCCUCAUCCUCCUCCAUGGUCCCCGUGUCCCCCUCUGUCCAAUCUCAGGCCUCGGGCCUGCUCCAAGACCCCGCCCUCCUGCGGCAGCUCCUCCCAGCGCUGCAGGCCACCCUGCAGAUGAGCAAUGGCAGCAUGGACAUGGCCAAGAUCAAUGAGGGUGAUCCUCAUGCUGCUGUUACCCAAGCUUCCCUGCAGUCUAUGCUUCAUAAACUCCUCACUGCUGGACCGUCUGCUUUCAACAUCACUGCUCUUUCUUUCCUGCUGCUCAACACUCCAACCAAGCGGCCCUGCAGGCAAGUCAAUCGCCCAUAUCACUAACGUCAGACGCCCUCCUCGCCCCGCUCAUACGUGUCGCCCAGGAAUGGCACGCCCCAGACCAACCUCCUUACCCAGAAACCCCUGCUCAGUAUGCCACCUGCCACCUCCCAACCAAAGGUUACCCCAGUGAAACCAGGACCAGUUUCUCAGCAGGCUUCAGCAGAGAAACGUCCAGAGGACCCCCGAACUCUCCUACAGCGGAGCAGUCAGGGGAGUCCGCCACCAGGACCUAACAGCAACUCCACCGGCGGCCACUCUGUUCCCAACGCUGCCUCAGGCCUCACCAGCGCUCCCGGCUCCUUCACUCCCUCGCUGGCCUCUCACUUUGACGAGAACCUUGUCAGGCACAUCCAGAACUGGCCCGCAGAGCACAUCGAGAAGCAGGUUGAUGAUGUGUGUUUGAUGCAACCCCUCACCCGGUUCUGCCUUUCUCGUUCAGGCAGCACGGUUACGGAGGAUGCCCACAACAUGGGCAGUCUCUACAUGUCUGAGAUCUGCACCGAACUCAAAAACCUCCGGUCUUAGUCAGAGUGUGUGAGAUCCAGGCCACGCUGCGGGAACAGAGAAUACUGUUCCUGAGACAGCAGAGCAAAGAACUGGACAAGCUGAAGAACCAGAACUCUUACAUGGUCUGAGUACCUGUGUGGGAGAUGAAAGACGGUGAACCGCUUUAGGCUGCGGGCGAAGCCUGCAACGCGGUCCUCUAUGCCCCAUGUGCCCCAGUCUGAACACGUCCGUACCGUCAUGAACCAGAGGGCGUCUGAGGAUGCGGACAAGAGACUGGGCCUGUUGAAGACUUCAUGUCAUGGGUUACGCAAUGAAGCGUACCACUGCCCAAGCCCCUGAAAAAGUGUAGAUUUUGUCUAGGCAUCCAAGAUGUAAAUUGUUCUAUGAAACCACAGGCUAAAAUAAUACAGAAGCCGUGUUGAGCUUUUCAUGGACACCCAAACCAGUGGAUUCUGACAAACCUACAGGUCAUACCUUUUUUGUUACCUGAUAAACUUGGCUGGCGUCCUUUUGGAUUUGAGAAACUGUUGGACUGUGUUUGUUGCGGUUGAUAGCCAGUUUUGGUUGGGAAUGCAUCUUUUUCUCCUCAGACUUGUGGCUUAACUGAAGUUGAGAGGGAACUGAAGGGACUCCGAUUGACUUGCGAUGUAUGAAUCACCAACUGAUUCCAGGAAGACUCAAAUGCCAACACUUCAGCAUAGACUUGAAGUGGUGCGUCACAUUGCAGAUAGGAUAUCGAACAGCCCACAGGUUAACAGCAUAUUCUUAAAAGCCAACUUUGAUUCCUUCCAGACUCAUACAGUUGCUUCUAUUCAGUGAGGAAUCCUGAAUUUAGCAGUCCCAGUUCACUGAGUACUUUUUAAAAUGUGAGCCGACAAAGAUUCUUAGCUGCUUGACAUGAGAUGUCUGUGUCGGCCCACGCUCCCUCCCCCCUGGAUGGGAAUAGUCUGUAGACUUAGUUACCUGUGACCCCUCUUACGUUGGGCCAGGAUACUUCUCAGAACAUACGGUCCCAUGGCGUAACCUUUAGGUCACCUCCCAGUUCCUAUCACGAACCCCCAAUGGGAUCAUGCGAUAAAGGGCAACGUUCUCGUCGUCCAUGACCUCUGCAUCAGAACCCCCCUUGAUCUGUACUUGAUAAUUUUCCCCCUCUUCUGCUGAACGUUUGAUGUUUUUUUGUUUUGUAAGCUUGUCUGUUUUGUCUUCAUCUUGAGUAAUUAAUUCCUUAUGUGCAGUUUCUCUCGAUUGUGAAAAAGGGGUCUUUAGUUUCACGUGGUUAUGUAAACCUAAAUUAUUGUUGCACAUUAUUAAUUGCGUUCUUGUGAAGAUGAUGGAAGAGAGGGUGGAGAUGAUCCUAUGUUCAUGGGACUCACCUUUCUCUUGGCUAUACCAGCUAAUCCAGUACAGCACUAGUUAAAUGGAGUCCGUAGUUGACGUUCGCUACAUUUGUCUUACUGAAGUUAAACUUUUUUUUUUUUUUUAGGCCUCAGUAAUUAAACGUAACUAUUUUACACAACAAUGCUGUCUCACUCUUUCAUAUCCACAGACUUAGCUACUCCAUCCUCAGACUUCUCCAACCAAUCAGUGACAUACUGUACCGGCCAAAACAUUGGUCUUCAGAACUGGAGAACUCACUUAUCUGAUAGUUGGGGAUUAGAGGUUUUUGUGAGGAUGGGGCGACCAUAGCUUUGUAUAUUAUUUCUUAAAAGUAUAUGAGAAUAAAAUACAUUAUUCUACCACA